UCAUAUCCAAAAUAGAUCAAAGGAAGAACUUGAACAUGUUAGAAUGUAAUUCACCGACGCGGACUUCAAAGACAUCCUAGCAUGCAACCUAUAACUCCUUACCAUUCUAGUUCAUGUUUACCGACGCGGACUUAACACAAACAAUGGCACAUAUUGAUUAAGAACAAGUCAUAAGUUAUCAAUCACACAUAUAAACAUAAUUUAGAUCAUCAAAAGCAUCAUCAAUUACACCAACAACUCAAGUGUACAGAUCUGAUUUUCAUGAUUAUAAGAACAAACUCAAUCAAAAAUCCAACUCAUGAACACAAACGAAUAAGAGAGAUGGAAACAAACUAAAGUAAUUGAAUAGAUAAUAAAAGAAAACAUGAGGUCUGAGUUUAGAUUACACUUUGAGUAUUGAAACAAGGAACUACGCCGAGAAUUACAGAGGAGAAGGCACGGCAAGAGAAAUCCUAAAACUAGGGUUUGUGUUUGGAGAAGAAUUUCUGAAGGAGAUGAAAGACGUUGUUUUUCUGCGGCCAAGAGCGACCCUUUCACGUCCCCCAACUCCUCAUACAUAUAGAGAACAUAUGAACAGCUGCUAUUAGGGUUAGAGAACCUUUAAUUUUCGUCCAUGGGCUCACCGUUGUGGUCUGGGCCUUGAAAUUGAAGUUCCGGUCCAAAUCAGAAAUUCGGGCAGACUGACCUUUGGUCACUCAAACGGUCAUAACUUGGUCACCAAAAUAGCUAUUGACGAUCUGCGAAAAGUUCUGAAAACUAGACUCUUCUAGCUUUCUGCUGAUAUAAAGUUCAUCUCCUGGAUCGUUGUGAGCUGAUCACAAUUCUCUGUCGAAAGUUGACUGACUAUUCCUGGC
Molecule: long non-coding RNA, 854 nt
Filed under: Fragaria vesca (wild strawberry)
Lineage: Eukaryota; Viridiplantae; Streptophyta; Magnoliopsida; Rosales; Rosaceae
Description: long non-coding RNA (FVES_LNC004121)
Source: RNAcentral